This 94-nucleotide non-coding RNA is filed under the name chicken gut metagenome. The record is from RNAcentral.
CAAAGGGGAGCUCAUGGAAGUGGGCUGAGAGGAAGCUGUUACGCUUCGACCCAAGAACCUGAUUUGGAUAAUGCCAACGUAGGGAUGCAUAUAA